Non-coding RNA from Camelina sativa (false flax), 1277 nucleotides. The record is from RefSeq and is a predicted model, not a curated record. NCBI's taxonomy places the organism in Eukaryota, Viridiplantae, Streptophyta, Magnoliopsida, Brassicales, Brassicaceae.
UUUUUUUUCAAGAGUUAGAUGAAUUAUACAGAUAAUUGUCCAGCCUCUGAUGAUGGUGAGCUCAAGGUCAGGAGCAGGCAUAGGAAGUUUAAGAACUGCCGUUGCUAGAAUUGCUAAGUUUGCAAAGUUCUAGCCAUCUAGGGUCUCAAAACAAAGAAAACAAUUCCCAAAGCCAGUCAGAGACAGGGAAUCAUAGUUUGUAUGGACAAAUAAGGAGGAAGAAUGAAAGAUUAUGUGUUGUUGAAGAGAAAGGAGAAGUCAAAAUAAAAAAUGUUAAGAGAUAAGGAAGAGAUGGUGAAUGGUGUGAUGAUGAUGAUCCGACUAAGUUAGUGAAAACUGUCAACAAUCACUUGUGAUUUUUUAAUUUUCUUUAUUAUCUUUUUUGUUUGUCAAAGCCAUCACUUAGAGGAAAUGAGAGCAUAAAAUGGGUUUUCACGUUCUGACAAAUUAGGUUCAUCCAAACCACUAACUUUUCAUUUUGGUCAACAAAAGGAAUUAUUUUUCAAUAUGGGAAUAUAUAAUAAUGCUACAUACCAAAAAAAAAAAAAUGUUAACUUGAAUUCUAAAAUUGACAUAUAAGGUUAUCAGGUAUAUGAAAUUGAAAAAAUUGGAGAUGACUUUAGGGAGUGGCCUACCUAAUUUGACACUUCUUCAACUACACCCUUUGAAUUUAUCUUUCUUUACCUUUAUUUUUUUGGUUUAUUUAUUUAUUUUUUCCCUCCUCUCAUCUUUUUUUUUUUUUCUCAUCAACUCCGCUAUCUCUCUCUCUCUCUCUCUCCUAAUUUUGCCUUCUUCAAAAACUGCAAAAAAAGCAAAUCAAGAAAAGAGAAGAAGCAGAAUCCAUAGAUGUGUCCAUUAAGGAUUAUCCUCAUAUUCCUUUCAGCGACUCUCGCUGGCUUCUUCGUCCUCAAGAAGCUCAACUCUACCUCCGACGAUCCUCUCGACGAUUCCUUCACCGACGCUGCUGAACCCGCCGACGACUCUGCCUCUGGAUUCUCCAAGGUGGGAAUGGCAUUGAAGUCUGGAUUUUGGACAUGCGUUGACAUGGCAAGUGGUCGCUAUCUCUGGAACCAUAUCCGCUCCGACUCCAAAAACUCUUCUUAAGUGUUUUUGUUACUCUUAUCUCUAUCUCUCUCUGUCUCUCUAUUGUCUGUAACUGUGUAAUUUUGCUGCAAUGGACGGCAACCAAAACCGCAUAUUGUCUUCUUUUGUACUAUAAUAUAGAUCUUGUCUUCUUCACUAUACUUUAAAACUCUCAAUAAAGUUGAAGUCUUUAA